CUUUUCUCAGCCUACUUAUAUGAAGUGUUAGGAUACUGUCAGGGGUUUUAUCUCUAUUUUGUUACCUGUGAGAAGGUUCAUUGCAAGUGUCUUUCCCUGCCAGCUCCUCACUGCACAGCUUCCACAGAGGCCUGCAGGCAAGUGGAACAAAACAAUCUGCUCUUCCCCAGCACUGUGUGGAGUCCUAAAUAACCUGGAUGGGUCAGGGGAUCUUAACACUUCUCCCAGCUUCCUUCCUUCAGCAAUCUUAGAAAAUGCGUUCAAAGCCACAGAAGCAAAUAAUGCUGGUGGUAAGUUUGUUUUUUGGGAGGCUGUACUGUGAAUUGCUGAAGAUGAGGAGAGCUGCACCAAUAAAAAUCCCCAG
Long non-coding RNA from Zonotrichia leucophrys gambelii, 364 nucleotides. RefSeq lists it as uncharacterized. The transcript has 3 exons. The record is from RefSeq and is a predicted model, not a curated record. NCBI's taxonomy places the organism in Eukaryota, Metazoa, Chordata, Aves, Passeriformes, Passerellidae.